UGUCACUGGCUCUCACUGCUGGGAGUGACUCCUGGGAGACAACAGACUGAGGCCUCUCUCCUACGUUCUGCUAGAGAACAACUCUCCCCCAGGAUAACACAGCUAAUAGCGGGUUAGCGUGGACAGACAGGCAGGGGAACAGAGAGAAAUAAUGUUUGGGUAAGGGUGCAAAACAGUGAUAUCAACACCCCAGCUCUCCAACCAUCGCAGGCUGUAGGUGUGCAAGGCAGUAUCUAAACAAAGAGCCUGCAGCCUCCAGAAGGUCAGCCAGAAACCACACUUAGUUGCCAGCAGCAAGGAAGUAUUUGGGGCCAACCAGGUAGCAAACACCAUCCAAACAGGCUCUUACUAACUGGGAGGCAGAGAGGAGCACGCAAGCCCCACCAUGGUACUAGUGAUGGUGGUGAUGAUAGGCAAGGCUGAGGUGGAAGUCCCACACCAUGAGUCAGAGGGAUGGGGAGAAUCUGCCCCAAGCAGCUGCAGCCUUCAGACACACGUGGGCUGAGUGUUUCUUGAUUACAGAUAAUUCAAUUCAUGUGGGGAUGAAGAGGGAAAAACAAUAAAAUGAAGGUUUCAGAAGGGCCUAGGUUUCUAUGUUCUGGUCUUGUAGCUGGUGGCCUGGGAGAUGCUUUGGGUUCUGGAAGCUAAGGCUGCUCCUGGAACCUCUCAAACAGCGGCAGAAUACAAAUCAGCCCACCCCAUGCACAGACGGCUGGGAUCCUUUGAGACUCUUGUUUUAUGGAUGAAAUAAAUUCAGCCAAUGGGGAAUGGAAGGCACUGUGAUGGAUUCAGAGGGAGCUAUAAUUUACAGCCCUGUCUCCUGGGCAGCACUUGAGGAGGAAGGAGAGCAAGCAUCAAGCCUGGGCUCAUGGCAAAACAUUACUUGCUUCCAAAACACAAGAGGCAGAGCUACAGAGGGGGUUCUCAGUGGAACCAGCUGUGAGAGGAGGAUCAGUUGCAAAGCUUAAGGCAAAGCCACAGCCAUCUGAGUUCAGAUGGUGCCCAGCUUAUGGGACACAGCAAAGGCAGCGCUCCCAUCACAGCACUGGGCCUCCUCCAGUGCUCUGUGCACACAGAGAAGGGAGAUAAUGGCUGAAAGAAGGUCUGUGUCUUCAAUAAUCUUUAAAGAGAUCUGAUUCUCUAUUACAUUGCUCUGAGUUAUGUGAUGCACAGAAGAAAGAUUGGGUUCCCUC
RNAcentral lists this long non-coding RNA (1193 nucleotides) under Phasianus colchicus (ring-necked pheasant). Its description in RNAcentral is "lncRNA (ENSPCLG00000004840.1)". Lineage: Eukaryota; Metazoa; Chordata; Aves; Galliformes; Phasianidae. The record is from RNAcentral.